ACGAGGACGGCGGGGUCGACGGCGGUGGCGGGGAAGGAGGAGGUUGUGGUGGCAAAAUGCGGGGAUUCGCGAGCGGUGUUGUGUUGUGGCGAUGUGGCCGUGCCCUUGUCUGUUGAUCACAAGGCUUGCUGAGAAGGAGAAUGGAAGCAGCUGGAGGAAGGGUCAUAGAUUGGAAUGGAUCCCGUGUCCUAGGCGUGCUUGCUACAUUGAGGUCAAUGGGUAUGUGGGACUGAACUUGAUGAUGAAGAUCAAAUUAGUGAGCGAACUUCUAAAAUUCUUGCCGCGCAUCAUGCCAACUCCUUGGACUGGAUACGUGGAGGGUCAAAGGGGGAUAGAAGGCGUGGCAAAGGCUCUGGUAGGAAGUGUGGUCUUUUGGGAAAUAACUUCACAGUUGCAUUGAUGGUGCAACUACGGGAUCCUUUGCUGAAUUAUGAACCAGUCGGUGCACCAAUGCUUGCGCUAAUUCAGGUUGAGAGAGUGUUUGUUCCACCAAAGCCAAGGAUUUACCUCAAGGUUUCUGAAGUAAAAUAUGAGGAUGAAGAGGAUGAGUCAGCCGAGUCCAAAAAGAAGGAAGAAAUUAAGGAGGGGACAGAAGAAAAGAAAUCUGAGGUGGAAGAAAUUCCCAGUAUAAGAUUACUGAAGUCCAUGUUGCUGGUCUCAAGACUGAUCCUGGGAAGAGAAAGGUCUGGGGAAGUUCAAACCAGCAACAAUCUGGUUCCCGUUGGUUGCUCACUAAUGGAAAGGGGAGAGCAAUAAGCAUCUGUUCCUGAAGUCGAAGACUGCUUCUUCUAAAUCUACUGCCCCAGCAACAACUAAGGCACAGCCUGGUGACACACUGUGGAGCAUCUCAUCCCGUGUUCAUGGAACUGGUGCUAAAUGGAAGGAAUUGGCAGCUCUUAACCCACACAUACGCAAUCCCAAAAUUAUUCUCCCAAAUGAAACCGUCAGGUUGUGUUAAGUUGGGGAUGGGAAACGGAUCUUCUUGAAAGAGGCUUGGUUUGCCAAGCUGGGUUGAGUGAAGUUUAUGAGCUACAUUAGUUGUGGGCUUGCUGAUUGAAACCACACAUUGUGGUUGUCUAAGAAAGAUGAAAGUGCUGGCUCCUGCCUUUGAGAACUCUCUUACCUUCCCAAUUGUUAUGGACUGAUUAUCACCAAUCUAAGGUACAAAAGAUCUGUCUAUGCAAUUGUUUUCAUCUCUCUCUUCUUCCAUCCCCUGUAAUCAGUUUGCAUAUGAACAGUAAUUUUUUGUGUUUUGUUUGGGAUGAUAUGCUACCAAUCCUUUGUCUUGUGAUUAGGAACAACAGAUCGGUCCAUGAGAUUUUAGGUUCC
Molecule: long non-coding RNA, 1329 nt
Organism: Eucalyptus grandis
Lineage: Eukaryota; Viridiplantae; Streptophyta; Magnoliopsida; Myrtales; Myrtaceae
Exons: 2
Source: RefSeq, a predicted model, not a curated record